This 73-nucleotide transfer RNA is filed under the name Ectyoplasia ferox (brown encrusting octopus sponge). RNAcentral's name for it is "tRNA-Ile". It matches the Rfam family "tRNA". From Rfam's summary of the family: Transfer RNA (tRNA) molecules are approximately 80 nucleotides in length. Their secondary structure includes four short double-helical elements and three loops (D, anti-codon, and T loops). The record is from RNAcentral. Lineage: Eukaryota; Metazoa; Porifera; Demospongiae; Axinellida; Raspailiidae.
AGACUGAUAGCUUAUUAGGAAAAGCAUGUUGCUCAUAACAAUGAGGAAGAUGGUUCGACUCCAUUUGAGUCUA